RNAcentral lists this ribosomal RNA (740 nucleotides) under Ruminococcus sp. AF41-9. RNAcentral's name for it is "partial 23S ribosomal RNA". It matches the Rfam family "Bacterial large subunit ribosomal RNA", at positions 179 to 925 of the family's 2925-position model. Lineage: Bacteria; Bacillati; Bacillota; Clostridia; Eubacteriales; Oscillospiraceae. The record is from RNAcentral.
GGGAACCCGGGGAACUGAAACAUCUAAGUACCCGGAGGAAAAGAAAGAAAACUCGAUUCCGUAAGUAGCGGCGAGCGAACGCGGAGGAGCCUAAACCGGAAUGCGUGCAUUCCGGGGUUACGGACUGCAUUUAAGAUUCUUUGAAGCUAACAGAACGGUUUUGGGAAAGCCGGCCAGAGAGGGUGAAAGCCCCGUACGUGAAAGCUGAUGAGACUGAGCAGGAUCCAGAGUACCACGAGACACGUGGAACCUUGUGGGAAAUCAGGGGGACCACCCCCUAAGGCUAAAUACUACUUAGUGACCGAUAGCGCAUAGUACUGUGAAGGAAAGGUGAAAAGGACCCCGGGAGGGGAGUGAAAGAGAACCUGAAACCCUGUGUCUACAAGCUGUGGAAGCACUUUAUAUGUGCAACCGCGUACUUUUUGUAGAACGGUCCGGCGAGUUACGCUUACUGGCAAGGUUAAGCACUUCAGGUGUGGAGCCGUAGGGAAACCAAGUCUUAAGAGGGCCUUAAGUCAGUAGGAGUAGACCCGAAACCGGGUGAUCUAUCCAUGUCCAGGUUGAAGCUGCCGUAAGAGGUAGUGGAGGACCGAACCCACAUCCGUUGAAAAGGGUGGGGAUGAGGUGUGGAUAGGGGAGAAAUUCCAAUCGAACCCGGAGAUAGCUGGUUCUCCUCGAAAUAGCUUUAGGGCUAGCCUCGAUACAGAUUUGCGGAGGUAGAGCACUGAAUUUCCUAGGGG